AUACGGGGGGUGCAAGCGUUAAUCGGAAUUACUGGGCGUAAAGCGCGCGUAGGCGGUUUGCUCAGUCGGAUGUGAAAGCCCAGGGCUCAACCUUGGAACUGCAUACGAUACUGGCAAACUAGAGUGUGAGAGAGGAUAGUGGAAUUUCCGGUGUAGCGGUGAAAUGCGUAGAUAUCGGAAGGAACAUCAGUGGCGAAGGCGACUGUCUGGCUCAACACUGACGCUGAGGUGCGAAGGCGUGGGUAGCAAACAGGAUUAGAAACCCUAGUAGUCC
Molecule: ribosomal RNA, 274 nt
Filed under: uncultured bacterium
Lineage: Bacteria
Description: partial 16S ribosomal RNA
Rfam family: Bacterial small subunit ribosomal RNA
Source: RNAcentral